RNAcentral lists this ribosomal RNA (606 nucleotides) under uncultured bacterium. RNAcentral's name for it is "bacterial SSU rRNA". It matches the Rfam family "Bacterial small subunit ribosomal RNA", at positions 338 to 946 of the family's 1533-position model. The record is from RNAcentral.
CCUACGGGAGGCAGCAGUAAGGAAUAUUGGACAAUGCUCGCAAGAGUGAUCCAGCCAUGCCGCGUGCAGGAAGAAUGCCCUAUGGGUAGUAAACUGCUUUUGAACUAGAGAAAACCCCAGUACGUGUACUGGGCUGAUAGUAUAGUUAGAAUAAGCAUCGGCUAACUUCGUGCCAGCAGCCGCGGUAAGACGAAGGAUGCAAGCGUUAUCCGGAUUCAUUGGGUUUAAAGGGAGCGUAGGUGGACUGAUAAGUCAGUGGUGAAAUCUCCGAGCUUAACUCGGAAAUUGCCAUUGAUACUGUUGGUCUUGAGUACAGUUGCUGUGGGCGGAAUAUGACAUGUAGUGGUGAAAUACAUAGAGAUGUCAUAGAACACCGAUUGCGAAGGCAGCUCACAAAGCUGUAACUGACACUGAGGCUCGAAAGUGCGGGGAUCAAACAGGAUUAGAUACCCUGGUAGUCCGCACCGUAAACGAUGAUUACUCGCUGCUAGGGGGCAACCUUUAGUGGCUUAGCGAAAGCGAUAAGAAUCACCUGGGGAGUACGCCGGCAACGGUGAAACUCAAANAGAGUAGAGNGNGAGAGNGCGAGCGACGACGAGGGAGAGG